RNAcentral lists this ribosomal RNA (470 nucleotides) under uncultured bacterium. RNAcentral's name for it is "partial 16S ribosomal RNA". It matches the Rfam family "Bacterial small subunit ribosomal RNA", at positions 28 to 507 of the family's 1533-position model. The record is from RNAcentral.
GACGAACGCUGGCGGCGUGCUUAACACAUGCAAGUCGAACGCUGAAGCUUGGUGCUUGCACUGGGUGGAUGAGUGGCGAACGGGUGAGUAAUACGUGAGUAACCUGCCCUUGACUCUGGGAUAAGCCUGGGAAACUGGGUCUAAUACUGGAUACGACAUGUCACCGCAUGGUGGUGUGUGGAAAGGGUUUUACUGGUUUUGGAUGGGCUCACGGCCUAUCAGCUUGUUGGUGGGGUAAUGGCUCACCAAGGCGACGACGGGUAGCCGGCCUGAGGGUGACCGGCCACACUGGGACUGAGACACGGCCCAGACUCCUACGGGAGGCAGCAGUGGGGAAUAUUGCACAAUGGGCGGAAGCCUGAUGCAGCGACGCCGCGUGAGGGAUGACGGCCUUCGGGUUGUAAACCUCUUUCAGCACGGAAGAAGCGAAAGUGACGGUACGUGCAGAAGAAGCGCCGGCUAACUACGUG